GCCCGGAUGGUGAAACUGGUAGACACCCGGGACUUAAAAUCCCGUGCCAGCAAUGGCGUGCGAGUUCGAUCCUCGCUCCGGGCACCA
RNAcentral lists this transfer RNA (87 nucleotides) under Zemynaea arenosa. Its description in RNAcentral is "Massilia sp. MC02 tRNA-Leu". It matches the Rfam family "tRNA". From Rfam's summary of the family: Transfer RNA (tRNA) molecules are approximately 80 nucleotides in length. Their secondary structure includes four short double-helical elements and three loops (D, anti-codon, and T loops). Further hydrogen bonds mediate the characteristic L-shaped molecular structure. tRNAs have two regions of fundamental functional importance: the anti-codon, which is responsible for specific mRNA codon recognition, and the 3' end, to which the tRNAs corresponding amino acid is attached (by aminoacyl-tRNA synthetases). tRNAs cope with the degeneracy of the genetic code in two manners: having more than one tRNA (with a specific anti-codon) for a particular amino acid; and 'wobble' base-pairing, i.e. permitting non-standard base-pairing at the 3rd anti-codon position. RNAcentral also lists the same sequence under 1 other name. Lineage: Bacteria; Pseudomonadati; Pseudomonadota; Betaproteobacteria; Burkholderiales; Oxalobacteraceae. The record is from RNAcentral.